This is a long non-coding RNA of Panicum virgatum (switchgrass), 357 nucleotides long. RefSeq lists it as uncharacterized. NCBI's taxonomy places the organism in Eukaryota, Viridiplantae, Streptophyta, Magnoliopsida, Poales, Poaceae. The record is from RefSeq and is a predicted model, not a curated record. The transcript is spliced from 3 exons.
AUCAUCGAAGUCCGCGCCCCGACCUUGUCAUCCUCGGCACCCCGACGCCGCCCUACGCCGGCCCCGUGCGCCGCCACCACGACCUCGUCCCCGGCGCCGCGCCCCGACGUCGCCCUGCACCGGCCACGACCACCAUGGGUGCACUCUUGGUACCAAGAUCUAGGUGUACGACUCAUUAAGGCAAGAUAAAUCAAAGUACCAAGAUCUCAUCGAGGUGAUAAAUACUGUAUGGAGUCGCUACCUCCGCAAACACAUAGGCUUGAAAGGUGAAAUCGAGCCUCUUCGUUGGCUGACCGAUUUUCCGUGUUGGAGACAGGAGCUAGGAAACAACUUAUGUGGAUACUACGUAUGCGAGUG